RNAcentral lists this long non-coding RNA (1914 nucleotides) under Nicotiana benthamiana. Its description in RNAcentral is "long non-coding RNA (NBEN_LNC019350)". Lineage: Eukaryota; Viridiplantae; Streptophyta; Magnoliopsida; Solanales; Solanaceae. The record is from RNAcentral.
AAUUGGAAGAGCUUGCGUCCAACUCAAGAGGGGAAAAUAUAGUGAUUUCUGAAGAUCAAGUUGCAGACAUAUUCACCAAAAGCUUAGGAAGAAAGCAUUCUGAGAAAGAUCACCUUGCACUGGGGAUGAUGAAACAUAAUUGAGAACCUGGUUCCUUAUUAUUGGCUAUGAAAGUCAUAGUCAGGUAAAAGAUAGCUAAAGUGUUUUCUUGCUAAUUCUAACUCACAUCUAUACCGUUAUAGGUAGACACACAUGAUGACUACAGAAGCAGAUAUUGCAGUGCAUGAUAAAUAAGGGGAUAAAUCUCACUUGCCAAACCUAUCAGGGAACCUAGUUCUCUAACAACAGGUCAGUGCUUUCUUUGUUCUUUCAUACACAAUUUAAAAUGAACAACAAAGUAAUGCCACAUCAUCAUCAGCGUGACAGUCUCUUUUAAUUCAUAUCUCUUUAUCCAAUACAUCAUAGCCCAAAUUCUACUCCUUUCUCUAAAUGAUACAUCUCCCAACCAAAAGGGUGCCGCAAUUUCAGAUUAGGUCCCUUAUCAUAAUUAAAUCAACAUCACAACCCAUUUCUCUUCCAAACUCAAAAUUCCCUAUUUAUCUUAUCUCUUCUAAGGUCCACAGUCCCUCGAGAAUAAUCACAUCAUGCCUGAAAAUCAAGCAACUGUUAGUAUGCCUGAUAGCACUGUGAUUGACUCCUCACCAAUGAGAAGUUUAGGGUGAACAUCUCUCCAAACCCUAAAGAUGAGUCUCAUCCACACUCUACUUCCUUUCCUGUCUUUUUCGAGUCCAUCCCUCCUUUAAGAAAGUCUGAAUAUGUCUGUCCUCCUCUAAUCUCACCAGUCAAACAGAGUCAAAGAGUGAACAAAGGAACCUUAUUCAGGAACCUUCUACCAUAUCCAUGGCUGAGAACUUGAUUGAAGAACAGUUGAAUAGUCAUUAAGAGACUGAGAUCUUCUGGACAAGUGAUGCUCUGAAGACAUCACUCCUUCGUCUGUUGAAAUCUCCAUGGAACCACAAGAAAAUAAGAAAAUAGAGAAUACGUGGUCCAUUGCAUCAGAAGGUGUCAUUAUAGAGAAAUGUGCAAGAGGGCUUGAGCCAUAGGGAGAAGAAAUAGAAGAAGAGGGAGAAUUUUCGCCCUUUGAAUAGCUGACACAAGAUGAUGCUACUGGACCCCAAAUAAUGAACCUGAUCCUUUCAUGGAGAAUCCUAGUCAAGAGUCAUCCUCCCAUGUCAGUGUUGAUCUUACUCCCUUCCCCCGCUUUGAUGUUGAGCCUGUGAAUAUAGUGGUGCAUGAUACAAAUCCUAAUAGUGAAGAAGACGCAAAUUAUUUGGUGUAUGUUAGUUUCAUCAGGGCUAGGACUAAGCUAGUGAUAACUUUAGAGCCACCUCCUAAGGGACCUACUACUCGGUUGCAGCAAAAUGAGGUUCUUGAGUUUUCCCUCAAGAAGAGUAAAUGGAGUAGAAGAAGGAAAAGGUUGGUCAAAUAUGGAAAAGUUGUACAGGCAGAGGAUGUUCUUGUAGUGAAUAUGGAUGAGGAAACAAAAGAGGAACCUAGUUCCUGUCCCGCAAGUCUUCAAGGAAGAAGCACUCUCUCUGUCAAUCAGAAAAGCACACCUCUAAGGGUGUUGAGAGUUCUUCCAAGAGUAAUGUUGCUGGUUCCAAUAAAAAGUUGGCAAAAAGUUCUGGUGACAAGAUAGUGAAGAAGCGUGGUGACUGAUAACUAGGGAUUUUAACACAUUUCAUGCUCCUUCUUGCUUAUACUUUGGUUAUAAAUUCAUAUAAAAUAGUCCCGAAAGGCAUAAGUUUUGGUUGAUUGCAGGUUUGAUCAAAAAAGUAACGAGAUGUCAAAUGUUGGCUCAAAAGGAGUGAAGCCGGCACAAGUACCAAAGACAAGACAAAACUUCGGAGAAAC